This is a long non-coding RNA of Perca fluviatilis (European perch), 895 nucleotides long. RefSeq lists it as uncharacterized. The transcript is spliced from 3 exons. NCBI's taxonomy places the organism in Eukaryota, Metazoa, Chordata, Actinopteri, Perciformes, Percidae. The record is from RefSeq and is a predicted model, not a curated record.
UCUCCCUUUUCCACACUUUCACUCGCUGAUACAACCCAAUCUGACCGGGGAUCAGUUACUAAUUAAUUCCACUCUUUCAAUCUCAACUCGUUCUUAGAAAACUGAUCUUGAUUCAGUGCGAUGUAAACAACCUGCUCUAUGCCCACCCACCUUUAUCUUUAGCCAAUCUACACAGUGCAUGCGGCCUUCUCCCAAUCAUUACAUUAAACAACUUUUACUUUAUUCUGAUUGGAUAAUUAUCACCAUAAUGAUUAAUGCCCAUUGUGUAAUACGGGCUUGAUCGCAGUUUGACAACAAGGGGUGCUGCCACCAACAAGGGGUGCUGCCGCACCCCCAGCACCCCUACUUCCCGCGCCUAUGGCAGCUGCAUCAAGAGGACGCGAUUUUUCAACAUUCAUGUCCAGCUUUGCUCAGCGGUGGUUUGUGAGCGUGGAGGGCUAGGUUGUCAGUGAGGGAGUGUCCUUUGUGCUGGGGCUUGCUGUUCUAAUGUCAACUUUCUACAACUUUAACCUGCAAUACCAGGACUAUGCUGCAUGGUCGUUGGAGUUCAUUCAGAGAAUCUGCAUGGGGAUUAAUCCUGAGAGAGGAUCAAAGGCAUACAGUGGACAGGCACCCAGCAGAAAAACUGGAAAGAUGGUCCAGAAGAAACCAUCAACAGUGAACCUGCAUGUCUGCACCCUAAUCAGGAAGCUCAACGACUUCAAGUGGGACUUUGUUUGAUCUUCUCUCAUAGCAUUGUAUUGUUUAGGUGCAGAUACCAUUUGUCAAUUAUCAAUGAACAAUAUAUGCCGAUAAAUACUGAUCGAUUUUGUGUUGUUUAGUUUAGUUAUUGCAGCUGAUAGAGCUGUAUUAUUGUAUUGGCCAGUUUCCCUGUUUGCAGUGUAUUGGGAUCGUG